This 253-nucleotide ribosomal RNA is filed under the name uncultured bacterium. Its description in RNAcentral is "partial 16S ribosomal RNA". It matches the Rfam family "Bacterial small subunit ribosomal RNA", at positions 524 to 776 of the family's 1533-position model. The record is from RNAcentral.
UACGGGGGGGGCAAGCGUUGUUCGGAAUUACUGGGCGUAAAGGGCUCGUAGGCGGCCAACUAAGUCCGACGUGAAAUCCCAAGGCUUAACCUUGGAACUGCGUCGGAUACUGGUUGGCUUGAAUUCGGGAGAGGGAUGCAGAAUUCCAGGUGUAGCGGUGAAAUGCGUAGAUAUCUGGAGGAAUACCGGUGGCGAAGGCGGCAUCCUGGACCGGCAUUGACGCUGAGGAGCGAAAGCCAGGGGAGCAAACGGG